This 70-nucleotide transfer RNA is filed under the name Albula glossodonta (roundjaw bonefish). It matches the Rfam family "tRNA". From Rfam's summary of the family: Transfer RNA (tRNA) molecules are approximately 80 nucleotides in length. The record is from Rfam by way of RNAcentral. Lineage: Eukaryota; Metazoa; Chordata; Actinopteri; Albuliformes; Albulidae.
GCCCCGGUGGCCUAAUGGAUGCACUGGCCUCCUAAGCCAGGGAUUGUGGGUUCAAGUCCCAUCUGGGGUC